ACAGCUGUAACUGAGGCACAGAGCAGUACACACAGUGGAGCCGAUUUCCGCGAUGGCGAGAGGGGGCACCGGAGGUGACAACAAUAACAAGACUGUCCUUCGGACAAGUUUUAGAUUCUCAGGAUGAUGGAGUGAGUGAUGGAAUAGGUUGCCAACUGUAGUUACUCCACUCAGCACAGAAUGGCUGCGGGGAAAUAUAAUCAGACAUGCCCAAAGAAGUCUGCUUAGGGUGAAACAAAUACCUUUGAGGUUUAAAUCAGGAAGGAGAGACUGUUUCUACAGGUGUCAUACAAAAAUCAAUACUGAGCCAAGGAUUAUUGGAUCCCAUAGAACCACGGAGACUUGGUAGUGAAAUUCUUCCAAAGCAUUCCAUCCGUGCAGGCAGAUGGUGUUCCUAGGUUUGGAAAUAUAAAUCCCAUGGGAAGUCAGCUGAAGACCAUUUUAUGCAUCACUCAUCCUGUUAGAGCCCUGUGCUGUUCUGUCUCUCUAUAAGGUAAGAGAUUUAUUGUGAAUUGGCUUCCAGAAGUAGAAAAUGUUGUAUGCUAAUGGAUGUUCCUUCAAAGUGGCUUCUGGAGCUC
This 578-nucleotide long non-coding RNA is filed under the name Homo sapiens (human). The record is from RNAcentral. Lineage: Eukaryota; Metazoa; Chordata; Mammalia; Primates; Hominidae.